This 684-nucleotide long non-coding RNA is filed under the name Felis catus (domestic cat). Its description in RNAcentral is "lncRNA (ENSFCAG00000044529.2)". The record is from RNAcentral. Lineage: Eukaryota; Metazoa; Chordata; Mammalia; Carnivora; Felidae.
AGGACCCCUGUCAUGUCUCACCAUCAGGAAAGCGGGACGGAAGGUUCCAGUUUAUUUGUUUUUGGAAAUAGCAGUUGUGUCAAAAACUAAGAAGAAAAGUGCUUUCGAAGGAAAGGUGUCUUCCCAAAAACUUCAGGGAGUUCAAGAAUGUAAGGGUGAAUCUUUUCCAAGGGUUAAACUAAGCCUCUCCAUUUAAAAUUCCGGGAUCAGGACACCUAAUGAGAGGUCAUGUGAGCAGGAGUCCAUAGACCCAUGUGCAGAAAUCUCAAAUCAAUGGAUUUGAAGCAUAUGCCCAGUAAACUCCGCAAACUCUUGGACUCAAUGUGCCCAGCUAGAAUCCGAACUGGAGGGCUUUCGCUGCCACGAUGCCAUUAUCAACAUCCCGGUCUCCACCCAAUGCACAGACGUCAUUACACACACACAGCAAUGAAGAGGGUGCUUUACUCUCCUUUAUCAGGACUGACAAGGCUUCCAGAAGAGGAGGAGCUGCUCUAUCCCUUUCAGCUUGAAGGACACAUCCAGGCACCUCAAGGGCAAAGCGGCUUAAUCAAGCCCAACCCGCCAGAUACCGCCCACUUCUCACCCACCCACACUGGCUGUGGAUGUCUUCUCCAGCCCCCCCACACCCACGGAAUGCCACACACCUCGUGCCCUCUGGGGUCCUCCUGCCCACCCCACAGCUAA